ACACUCAUGGUUCUCUUCACAUCUUAUAAAUCUUUCGCCUUUUACUAAAGAUUUCCGUGGAGAGGUCCAAUAUGAGUUUGUAGUGAUUUUUUGAUACUCCAUCGCAUGAUGGAGU
This is a small nuclear RNA of Alosa alosa (allis shad), 115 nucleotides long. RefSeq annotates it as U5 spliceosomal RNA. The record is from RefSeq and is a predicted model, not a curated record. The transcript has a single exon. NCBI's taxonomy places the organism in Eukaryota, Metazoa, Chordata, Actinopteri, Clupeiformes, Clupeidae.